Molecule: ribosomal RNA, 428 nt
Filed under: Acanthamoeba palestinensis
Lineage: Eukaryota; Discosea; Longamoebia; Acanthamoebidae
Description: SSU rRNA
Rfam family: Eukaryotic small subunit ribosomal RNA (bases 1-372)
Source: RNAcentral
GGGAUUGCCUGUCACGCAGGCAGAUUCAUUUUCUGCCACCGAAUACAUUAGCAUGGGAUAAUGGAAUAGGACCCUGUCCUCCUUUUUUCAGUUGGUUAAUUCAUGAGAGAGGAACAGGGUAAUGAUUAAUAGGGAUAGUUGGGGGCAUUAAUAUUUAAUUGUCAGAGGUGAAAUUCUUGGAUUUAUGAAAGAUUAACUUCUGCGAAAGCAUCUGCCAAGGAUGUUUUCAUUAAUCAAGAACGAAAGUUAGGGGAUCGAAGACGAUCAGAUACCGUCGUAGUCUUAACCAUAAACGAUGCCGACCAGCGAUUAGGAGACGUUGAAUACAAAACACCUCUAUAUAUAAUUCAGUAUAUGAUCAGUCAAAUGGUUGUAUAUUGUUUGUAUAUAGUUACGGUGAAUGACUCCCCUAGCAGCUUGUGAGAACA